This 424-nucleotide ribosomal RNA is filed under the name uncultured bacterium. Its description in RNAcentral is "partial 16S ribosomal RNA". It matches the Rfam family "Bacterial small subunit ribosomal RNA", at positions 360 to 776 of the family's 1533-position model. The record is from RNAcentral.
AAUAUUGGACAAUGGGCGAAAGCCUGAUCCAGCCAUGCCGCGUGUGUGAAGAAGGUCUUCGGAUUGUAAAGCACUUUAAGUUGGGAGGAAGGGUUGUAGGUUAAUACCCUGCAAUUUUGACGUUACCAACAGAAUAAGCACCGGCUAGCUUCGUGCCAGGAGCCGCGGUAAUACGAAGGGUGCAAGGGUUAAUCGGAAUUACUGGGCGUAAAGCGCGCGUAGGUGGGUUGUUAAGUUGGAAGUGAAAGCCCCGGGCUCAACCUGGGAACUGCUUUCAUAACUGCUGAGCUAGAGUACGGUAGAGGGUAGUGGAAUUUCCUGUGUAGCGGUGAAAUGCGUAGAUAUAGGAAGGAACACCAGUGGCGAAGGCGGCUUUCUGGACUGUAACUGACACUGAGGCAUGAAAGCGUGGGUAGCAAACAGG